RNAcentral lists this ribosomal RNA (496 nucleotides) under uncultured bacterium. RNAcentral's name for it is "partial 16S ribosomal RNA". It matches the Rfam family "Bacterial small subunit ribosomal RNA", at positions 29 to 523 of the family's 1533-position model. The record is from RNAcentral.
AUUGAACGCUGGCGGCAUGCUUUACACAUGCAAGUCGAACGGUAGAGGGGGCAACCCCUUGAGAGUGGCGAACGGGUGAGUAAUGCAUCGGAACGUGCCCAGUCGUGGGGGAUAGCCCGGGGAAACCCGGAUUAAUACCGCAUACGACCUGAGGGUGAAAGCGGGGGACCGAAAGGCCUCGCGCGAUUGGAGCGGCCGAUGUCGGAUUAGGUAGUUGGUGGGGUAAAGGCCUACCAAGCCUGCGAUCCGUAGCUGGUCUGAGAGGACGACCAGCCACACCGGGACUGAGACACGGCCCAGAAUCCUACGGGAGGCAGCAGUGGGGAAUUUUGGACAAUGGGCGCAAGCCUGAUCCAGCCAUGCCGCGUGCGGGAAGAAGGCCUUCGGGUUGUAAACCGCUUUUGUCAGGGAAGAAAUCCUUUGGACUAAUACUCUGGGGGGAUGACGGUACCUGAAGAAUAAGCACCGGCUAACUACGUGCCAGCAGCCGCGGUAA